Molecule: long non-coding RNA, 408 nt
Organism: Solea solea (common sole)
Lineage: Eukaryota; Metazoa; Chordata; Actinopteri; Pleuronectiformes; Soleidae
Exons: 3
Source: RefSeq, a predicted model, not a curated record
CUGCAGUCCUGAGCCUGUGAUCCAUCCACACAGCUGCACCAGCAGUGAGAUCCGUGCAACAAGGCACACCAGCAGUAAAACACAGCACACAUCCAGUUUGCAAACUUAUGUUGGUUCUCUCCAGGGCCUGGAGGAACUAGUAGCCCCGACCUUCAGAAACAAUUGCUGCCGUAAGGCGUAACCGCCUAACAUCUGAGGCCACAGAGCAGGAAAUCGACUCAACGAUGAUGGUUACAUCUGGCUCCAGACAGAGAUGGUGGCAGAAUGGAGAGGAUGAAGCAAAAGCAGAGAAUGGAUGGCACAACAGGUUAAAGUCCUGGUUCGUAGACUCCCAUAUUGUUCUGAAAUGUACAGAAUCCUGGUCCAUGCACGGUGCGUCCUGGUUCAUGGGCUCAGUGUUAAAAAAUG